CCUACGUGUGGCAGCAGUGGGGAAUAUUGCACAAUGGGGGGCACCCUGAUGCAGCAACGCCGCGUGGGUGAAUAAUUACUCCGGUAUGUAAAGCCCUGUCAGCAGGGAAGACAAUGACGGUACCUGACCAAGAAGCCCCGGCUAACUACGUGCCAGCAGCCGCGGUAAGACGGAGGUGGCAAGCGUUAUCCGGAUUUCCUGGGUGUAAAGGGAGCGUAGACGGCAAGGCAAGUCUGGAGUGAAAGCCCGUGGCCCAACCACGGGACUGCGGUGGAAACUGUGUUGCUGGAGUGCAGGAGGGGUAAGCGGAAUUCCUAGUGGAGCGGUGAAAUGCGUAGAUAUUAGGAGGAACACCGGUGGCGAAGGCGGCUUACUGGACUGUAACUGACGGUGAGGCUCGAAGGCGUGGGGAGCAAACAGGAUUAGAUACCCGUGUAGUC
Molecule: ribosomal RNA, 440 nt
Filed under: uncultured bacterium
Lineage: Bacteria
Description: partial 16S ribosomal RNA
Rfam family: Bacterial small subunit ribosomal RNA
Source: RNAcentral